RNAcentral lists this transfer RNA (88 nucleotides) under Holospora undulata HU1. It matches the Rfam family "tRNA". Rfam says of the family: Transfer RNA (tRNA) molecules are approximately 80 nucleotides in length. Lineage: Bacteria; Pseudomonadati; Pseudomonadota; Alphaproteobacteria; Holosporales; Holosporaceae. The record is from Rfam by way of RNAcentral.
GGAGAGAUGGCCGAGUGGUUGAAGGCGCACGAUUGGAAAUCGUGUAUACGUUAAUAGCGUAUCGAGGGUUCGAAUCCCUCUUUCUCCG